Molecule: unclassified non-coding RNA, 1725 nt
Filed under: Dimorphilus gyrociliatus
Lineage: Eukaryota; Metazoa; Annelida; Polychaeta; Dinophilidae
Description: dgyrCDS751
Source: RNAcentral
AUUUAUAAAUAAUAAGUCACAUUUGGCAGUACAACGUGUUUAUUUUACUGCGUAAAAUUAGUAUUAUCAAUAGAUUUAUUAUAGUUUUUAAAUCAACACAUUAUCGAAUGUAUUUACAUUAUUAAAAAGAUGCAAGAACAAAAAGUAACUCAAGAGGAGGCAAAUAGUGAGAAGAAUGUAGUAGUUGACAGAUUAUCACUCAAUUUUGAUGGUCAAGAUGAGGUUGAUAGGACGAGACUCCCAAGUGAUAGAAUAAUGAGAAAAAUAUUUGAUGCUACUCAUAGUCUGAGUACAACUUUGGAUUUAUCGAAUUAUAAUUUAACAGAGGUACCCGAAGAAAUUCUUGACAUGUCUCAGUUACAAAACUUAUAUCUUAGUUAUAAUAAAAUAACAACUCUUCCAGGAAAUUUCUUUGAUAAACUAUCUAACUUACAGUGGUUAGAUUUAAGAUUUAACCAACUAAAAAGUCUACCGACAACGUAUAUAGGCCGUCAUAAAUGCUUAAGGAAUAUGUUGUUGGAAGGUAAUAAUUUGAGAACUUUACCAUUGGAAUUAGGUUUAAUAACAACAAUGGAUGGUUUAAAUUUAAGGGGUAAUCCUUUAGAAUUUCCUCCAUCCGAAGUAUUAUCAAAAGGAACCAAAGAAAUUCUUAAAUUCUUUAGAGAGAUACUUUUUGCAAAAAGUGGUAAGAAAGUUAAAUCGGAUGAUUCUGUGACAAAUAAUAGUCGAAAGACAUCAUCAUCAAGUGAAAACGAUUCGUCAACUGAACAACAACAACAACAACAACAACAACAGCAACAACAAUUAGAACAUGGCCUAGAAAAUAUGGAUAAAAUAUAUAAUCGUUCAAAAUCUAUAGAACGUGAAGAGUUUGUCGGACCAAUACUAAAACCAGUUGAUUUACAAAGGAAAAGUAGUUCAAAGAAAUCUCUUAAAAGCGGUGGAAACAGAAGUGGAAAGACUAGAUCAAAACAAUCAAAACGCAUAAUUGAUAUUACUGAAAGAGUUGAAGAUUCAGAAUAUAGAGAUUCAGAUAGAAGAUUGCAAAAACUUUUGGAACACGAAAGGAGAUUGGCUUUGAUGAAGGGGAUAAAUGAGGAGACUGAUAAAAUUCUCCAGAAAAGACGAGAUGCUGAAAGGCUACAAGAAUUCCGAGAUGAAAGCCGAAAGCGACAAAUUCAAAAGGAAAGGGAAAAAUUCUCUAAAGGAUUAUGUAAGAUCAUAUUUCAUCAACUUCAAUUCUUCUUCACUUUUUAAUUGUUUUUGCAUAUCUAUUUUCCUUACAUAGUCUAUAAGAAAGCUGCCGAAACUGCUCCGUUUGCAACAGAACAGUCUAAAUUAGUUACUGAUACAAAAAAGCAUGCGGAUAGGCUAAAAGCGGAGACGGAUAUAACUCUAAAGAUUGAAGAACAUCUUAAGAGGAUACACGAACGACGUUCUAAGCCAAAACAAUCUGCUCAAGAGGAAUUAAUUGCCGCCCAAAAGGAAUUAGAAAUAAUACAACAAUUACGUGGCGAUUUAAGGAACACCUCACAAUUCCGACCGUAUUUUCCACACUCUUAAAAAAAUUAUACAUCUUUGUAAGAUUAAAAAGCUAACAAGACUUAUAUAAUGCUUUCUCUUUUUUGUCUGUUUAUUUUCAAAGAAAGCUUCUUUCGUUUGGCUAAUCAUUUUUCCAGUAUUAUACAUACUUUUACUGUAUAUUUUCCAGUAUUUUUGUUUUUU